GAAGUGCGAAUGCUGACAUAAGUAACGAUAAAGCGGGUGAAAAGCCCGCUCGCCGGAAGACCAAGGGUUCCUGUCCAACGUUAAUCGGGGCAGGGUGAGUCGACCCCUAAGGCGAGGCCGAAAGGCGUAGUCGAUGGGAAACAGGUUAAUAUUCCUGUACUUGGUGUUACUGCGAAGGGGGGACGGAGAAGGCUAUGUUGGCCGGGCGACGGUUGUCCCGGUUUAAGCGUGUAGGCUGGUUUUCCAGGCAAAUCCGGAAAAUCAAGGCUGAGGCGUGAUGACGAGGCACUACGGUGCUGAAGCAACAAAUGCCCUGCUUCCAGGAAAAGCCUCUAAGCAUCAGGUAACAUCAAAUCGUACCCCAAACCGACACAGGUGGUCAGGUAGAGAAUACCAAGGCGCUUGAGAGAACUCGGGUGAAGGAACUAGGCAAAAUGGUGCCGUAACUUCGGGAGAAGGCACGCUGAUAUGUAGGUGAAGCGACUUGCUCGUGGAGCUGAAAUCAGUCGAAGAUACCAGCUGGCUGCAACUGUUUAUUAAAAACACAGCACUGUGCAAACACGAAAGUGGACGUAUACGGUGUGACGCCUGCCCGGUGCCGGAAGGUUAAUUGAUGGGGU
RNAcentral lists this ribosomal RNA (620 nucleotides) under Escherichia coli. Its description in RNAcentral is "bacterial LSU rRNA". It matches the Rfam family "Bacterial large subunit ribosomal RNA", at positions 1285 to 1890 of the family's 2925-position model. Lineage: Bacteria; Pseudomonadati; Pseudomonadota; Gammaproteobacteria; Enterobacterales; Enterobacteriaceae. The record is from RNAcentral.